Molecule: long non-coding RNA, 521 nt
Organism: Saccostrea echinata
Lineage: Eukaryota; Metazoa; Mollusca; Bivalvia; Ostreida; Ostreidae
Exons: 3
Source: RefSeq, a predicted model, not a curated record
ACAUUGGGCCUAAAAUGCCCUAAAUCAAUGUGACUGAUGAUUCUGUACUGUUUGUGGAUUUACCAACACCUUUUUCACGGGAAAGGAAUACGACAGAGAGGCCUAUGAUAUCAACUCAGAAGUAGCUCUUGCCAACUUGAUGGUACAUUCUGGUAUGGGACCAUCCCAUGUAGUAAAUUUUCUCAGCACCUUUAACACUGCACCUAUGGUGUCACACCACAUUGAACAUACGUUGAAGAAAAAGAGAUGUCAGCCUCUAUUGUGCAACCAGGCCAAGCAAUCUUGUUGGAUAUCUAGAGACGAAGAAUGCUAAACCGGACCAGUUGGAAUGUAGUUUUGAUGCUGGAUAGCAGACCAAGGGGUCUUGCUGUUAGUAUAAUAGUGAUACUGAUAAUUUUAACAAGUAAGGUGUAUAAGAUAUAUGAAUGUGAGGUCCAGACCAUUCAUGCUGAUAAUGAUUCAACUACUGCAGCUCGACUAAAGAAUGACUUUCCAUCUCUUCCAAAAAAAGCAGGACAAGG